This 30-nucleotide non-coding RNA is filed under the name Macaca fascicularis (crab-eating macaque). The record is from RNAcentral. Lineage: Eukaryota; Metazoa; Chordata; Mammalia; Primates; Cercopithecidae. RNAcentral also lists the same sequence under 4 other names.
UCCGUAGUGUAGUGGUUAUCACUUUCGCCU